Long non-coding RNA from Amphiprion ocellaris (clown anemonefish), 2397 nucleotides. NCBI's taxonomy places the organism in Eukaryota, Metazoa, Chordata, Actinopteri, Pomacentridae. The record is from Ensembl.
CAGAUGUGAAGUUAAAUUUGGCCCAAGACACCUGCAGCAGUCUCAGCAGGAAGUUCUGGAACCCUAAAAGCACCCGCCUCCACAGCUGCUGUCAAUACCGACAAGAGCUACACAUACAUGCACAUCUUAACUACCUCUACACUGUGUUUUACAGCAGACAAAUUCUGAACUAAGCACUUUUUGGAGUGUACAUGUGUUUACUUCAGCCUUCUGAUUGGAACUCAGAAGCAAAUUGCAAGGCAUAAUCUAAAGAGAAACCGAACACGAGAAAUCAAUUUAUCUCCACACCCAUCCCUUCUCAUGUCUAUCUACACCGCUGGUUCUGUUGUGCUCAGGCAUCGUGUGGGGAAAAAGCCUUCUGGCAGCAGACGAGCUCUUCAGGUUAAAGCGGGGUUCUAAAAUAAAACCAAACUACCGAGAGAAUAAAGAGAGCAUUACGUUCACCGAGCUACAAAAUCACCAUCUCUGACAUCCAACUUCCUGCAAUUCACAAACACAGCAGCAGUUGUGUCCAGUUUUAUAUUUAUAACCCUUAUUUUUCUCCUCUCUCUCUCUGGUAGAAUGGUAGCCAGUCGUCUGUACACUGUAUCCAUGACAACUGAGUACUCGGUGAUUUGUAUUCAACUUCACUUAAUGUCAAAUUUAGCCAGAGCCCGGUGAUACUUUCAGUGGAAAGAAGGGUUAUCUCUCAAACACUGUGAUGUCACGAAUUUGACAUCAUCACAUUCAGACACACAAACGAUGCUUGGAGCCAUAAACCCGACCUCCAUCCUUAGCGAAGGAAUUAGCACCAUCUGUUUUUACAUAAGUGGUUUUGAAUGUACUUCUGAUAGAAUUUGUUUUAUAAUUCAAUAGUGAUGAUGGAUUGCAUAACCAAUAAGAGUGUUUAGCAGCACAGAAAGUGACUUUGCUUACAUGCAUAAUAAGUGCUUUUCCUCUGCAUCAUGCCAGCCCUGUGUUUCAUAUCAACACCAGGAAUGUCGAUCAUUAAAACAUGAAUCACACUUUUUUUUUGGCCUCACAGUGCUCUACAACAUAGCAAUCUGUACCCAUUUACAUCUCAAAGACCUGAAUGUGCAUUGUGAAGAGCAGAUGUGGAAUGUAGAAACAGAAAAGAAGCUCUUUCACGGUAAUGGACACUUGUCUCCCCCCACUUAGUCCACUCUCACUAUCUAUGAAGAUCCUGCAGCUAAGAAACCAAAUUAAAAGCUAAUCGAUGGGUUUGCUUAAUGCCAGUGGGCCCAAUUUGGGGAUGAAAGUGCUCUUUUGCUCCAUGUGCCUCUCUGUCCCCAUUCAUAUUGAAAUGAGGAAUAAAUAUGGUUAUUCAAGCUUUUACACAUUUUCAGAUGUAACCAUCUACUGCAUGCAGGCUUCUUUACUGUUUUGGAAGAAGGGGACUGCCCUCCUACGAGCCCUUUUUUAAAAUUCAAAUGACGGGGUAUUUGUGAAUUCAAUACACAGAAGAGUCUGUUCCAGUUCUAGUAGCUGAAAAUGUCGCUCUGUGGUUUUAAUGGGUCAACUGCAAAUAAACCAGAUCACUCAAAGUUGUGAGAUUGAGGUUUCUGAAGUUUGCAAAUAUAGAAACCCGGUGGUCUAUAAGAAAAAUCAUCUCUGUGUGAAUAAGCAGCGAGCAUUGAUUGUACAAUCUGACAAGAGUCUCUUUGUAAAAUAAAUAAAUACAUUACAAACCCAGGAAUCUGACUGCCACUGGCCAAAUCAGUGUUUCUGACAGGAUGCUGCGCACACAACUGAUGUCUUUAUCUCACGUCCUUUCACACUUUGACAUGCACAGCACGACCCCCCUGUUUGUAAGGCAGUAUGUGUGCUUCUGUUUUUGACGUUACAUACAUGAAAUAAUGUAGACGCUGACAAAAAACCUGCAGUCACAUGGAUUUGAUCACUCAGAGACAUGUUUGCCACAGACCACAACGUGUUGUUCAUACAUAAGAGUGGAUUGCAUUUAAUUCAACUUUAUUGUCAUUGCAUAGAGUGAAAGAGCAUAGGUAUAUACAAUGUGAUGCAGUAUUAACAGAAUGAGGAGUAUAAACAGUGAUAUGGACACACUAAGCAUAUGAAUAUAAUAAGCUGUAGAUGAUAUAGAUGUACUAGAUCAAGAAAAAAAACAAUGUAAAGAUACAUAAAUGUCAAUAUUAAUAUGGAAAUAAAUGACAGUAUGAACAGUAUAAUUAUAUUAUAUUAUAUUAUAUUAUAUUAUAUUAUAUUAUAUUAUAUUAUAUUAUAUUAUAUUAUAUUAUAUUAUAUUAUAUUAUAUUAUAUUAUUGGCACAUUGGAAUUCUUUGUGCAUUUCUUAAAGUCAGCUUUGUAAAAAAAAUGAAAGUAAAGAGUAAAAGUCAGAGUGUGUGGGUAUAGGAUGUAAUGAACACUUUUCAUUAUAAU